This 492-nucleotide ribosomal RNA is filed under the name uncultured bacterium. RNAcentral describes it as "bacterial SSU rRNA". It matches the Rfam family "Bacterial small subunit ribosomal RNA", at positions 28 to 533 of the family's 1533-position model. The record is from RNAcentral.
GAUGAACGCUAGCGGCAGGCUUAAUACAUGCAAGUCGUGGGGCAGCAUGGGGUAGCAAUACUCUGAUGGCGACCGGCAAACGGGUGCGGAACACGUACGCAACCUUCCCAAAACUGGUGAAUAGCCCUCCGAAAGGAGGAUUAAUACACCGUAACAUAACGAAGUGGCAUCACUUUGUUAUUAUAGCUCCGGCGGUUUUGGAUGGGCGUGCGCCUGAUUAGGUAGUUGGCGGGGUAACGGCCCACCAAGCCUACGAUCAGUAACUGGUGUGAGAGCACGACCAGUCACACGGGCACUGAGACACGGGCCCGACUCCUACGGGAGGCAGCAGUAAGGAAUAUUGCACAAUGGACGAAAGUCUGAUGCAGCAACGCCGCGUGGAGGAUGACACUUUUCGGAGCGUAAACUCCUUUUAUAUAGGAAGAUAAUGACGGUACUAUAUGAAUAAGCACCGGCUAACUCCGUGCCAGCAGCCGCGGUAAAGUACAGUGU